AAAUACAUUAUGAAUUUUGUCGAGUUCCGGUGGUAAAGCCAAUCGGUAAGCAACUGGUCCAAUUCUUUCUAUAAUCUCAUAUGGUCCGAUAAAUCUUUGACUCAAUUUACCCUUUCGACCGAACCGGAGAACUUUCUUCCAAGGAGACACUUUUAAGAAUACUUUAUCACCCACCUGAAAUUCAAUCUCCCUUCGUUUAAGAUCAGCGUAUGACUUCUGACGAUCGGAAGCUG
This 233-nucleotide long non-coding RNA is filed under the name Gossypium barbadense (sea-island cotton). Its description in RNAcentral is "long non-coding RNA (GBAR_LNC013971)". The record is from RNAcentral. Lineage: Eukaryota; Viridiplantae; Streptophyta; Magnoliopsida; Malvales; Malvaceae.